CAUCCCUAUAGCAUGUUCUAUGCACAAAGUCUUUUUAACUAGAUUUUUUUUUUAAUCACCCUGCAAAGUGGUUGGAUCAGUUUACAUCUAUCUCCCUGGGUUCUUCAUGCACAAAUCUUCCCAUUUUUUUUUUAUCCCAUUUCACCAUUAUUUGCCUGUCACUCCAUUUCUGCUAUGCAUCUUCUUUCACUUCCCAAAUGGAUCUUCAUCGACAUCUGCUCUGGGGUCAACUGUGUGGAACUGUAAUUUCCCCAAGCCUCACCACCCUCUGGGUACAUAUGUGGGAAUGCUAAUAUUAAUACCUAAUUUUUCUGGCUCAUUUCCCCAAAUUGCUGAUGUAUGAACCCCAGCUCCCUGAAAAUUCCCUCUUAAGAAUGUUUAGAAUCUCCAGAGGCAUGUGUGACAUAUGCUGCCCUUUCUUGAAUUCUGUGCCACUCCGCUGGCCACAGCCACUUCCUCCCGUGCUCUGCUGGCUCUGUUUUUCUCUGUCACUGCUGUUUAUGGGGUAGCAAUUUCCUGAAAAUGGCUACCGUCGCUUCAUUGGCCACGGCAGGCACUGUCACUACAUCAUGUUCCUCCUCUGGGUGCCAAAUCUCUUGCUGACCCCCGAGCUCAGCAUUUCUCGGCUGCUGGAACCUCUGAACACCCAAAGGUCAAAUCUGCUCUGUGGUGUGUGGCAGAGUGACAGAGAAAGACUUCCUACUCUGUGUUCUGGAUUCAGAGCUGAGGUGACAAGCUGAUGGUAUCUGUGGCCUUUGGAAAAAGCACAUAUCAUAGCUGCUGCCCUACUUGAUGAGCCCUAUUCCACCCUCCCACACCCGAUCCUCAUUCUGGCAUGACACCAGCUCUGCUUCCAGCCCCAAGUAUCAUCUUCUGCCCGCCUGUUCCUGCAGCUCUAUGUGAACUUUGGUUUCAAGUUAGCAUCUCAACAUCCAUUUGGCAAAGACUUUUGGAAGGGGCUGUUAUGUACCACCCUGGAUCUAGCAUCAGGGAUCAAAUGAUUGUUUUCACGCAUAUUGUAAAAUUGAGAGCAAGAAAGAAAAUCAUAACAAAGAGAAUGUUCAAAGGAAUUAAUAUUAAUUAAGCACCCACCGUGUGCCAAGCACCAUGCUCGGUACUUUCCUCGCAAGAAUCCUACAGAUUUGAUAUUGGAGACUCCAUUUGACUGAUAAUGAACCUGAGUUUGAAAGAAACUGAGUGACACUUUUUUGGUUUUAUUUUCAUCAGAGAACUUAUGAAUAUAUGAAAUACAUUUUUCUGUUUGUGGGCUUGCUUUGCUGCCUAUUUGCCUUACUCUAAGGCAAGUACAACCUGAGAUUGGAUCCUGCUAUUUUCUUCAAUAUUUCAUGCCCAGUUCCAAAAACAUUGCCUGGCAAAUACACUAGGUAACAAAAAUAUUUCUUGAAUGUGUGACUCAAUUGUUUAAUCAAUGAGUGAGUAAAUAAAAAUUGCACGGAGCU
This 1460-nucleotide long non-coding RNA is filed under the name Vulpes vulpes (red fox). RNAcentral describes it as "lncRNA (ENSVVUG00000006085.1)". The record is from RNAcentral. Lineage: Eukaryota; Metazoa; Chordata; Mammalia; Carnivora; Canidae.